GGAGAGAUGGCAGAGCGGUUGAAUGCGGCGGUCUUGAAAACCGUUGGGCAUGCAAGUGUCCCGAGGGUUCGAAUCCCUCUCUCUCCGCCA
RNAcentral lists this transfer RNA (90 nucleotides) under Collinsella stercoris. RNAcentral describes it as "tRNA-Ser". It matches the Rfam family "tRNA". From Rfam's summary of the family: Transfer RNA (tRNA) molecules are approximately 80 nucleotides in length. Their secondary structure includes four short double-helical elements and three loops (D, anti-codon, and T loops). Further hydrogen bonds mediate the characteristic L-shaped molecular structure. tRNAs have two regions of fundamental functional importance: the anti-codon, which is responsible for specific mRNA codon recognition, and the 3' end, to which the tRNAs corresponding amino acid is attached (by aminoacyl-tRNA synthetases). tRNAs cope with the degeneracy of the genetic code in two manners: having more than one tRNA (with a specific anti-codon) for a particular amino acid; and 'wobble' base-pairing, i.e. permitting non-standard base-pairing at the 3rd anti-codon position. RNAcentral also lists the same sequence under 2 other names. Lineage: Bacteria; Bacillati; Actinomycetota; Coriobacteriia; Coriobacteriales; Coriobacteriaceae. The record is from RNAcentral.